GCGGGGGCGGGCGGAGGGCGGUGCGGCGGGGCAGGGCGCGGCAGCAACCCAGGGCGGGCACUCGCGCGGCUCCGCCGGAAGGAGCUGGCUUGGCAACUGGGUGUUACUGAACUUGAUAAAUGCUCUGGAUUGAAUCUGCAAACUUCAGAUCCUGUCAGAAGAUCGUCCUUUCAUCCUUCCUCUCUUCUCUCUCUCGUUCUGGUUUUGGUUUGGUUUUAAUGUUUAUUUUUGUUUUGAGGGAGCAUUACUGCUGACUUUUCCUCACCUGAUUUUGUAGUAAUUGUCUAUUGCAUUGUCAGAUCUCAUCGUCUGAUUCACAAGUGCCUAGUGCAAUACUCAACUUGGUGCUCACGCAAGAUAGUACAUCUCCAUCUGCUUGACAGCACAGCUUGAAGACCAUAUGGCCAUGACCCUGACUGCCCACCCUUUUUUCAAUGUUACCCCCAAGACUCUUUCGUUUCCUUUGUAAGACAGCAUUAUUAGAAACUCUGUUUUCUCCAAGUAAUAAGAAAAAAAAAAACAAUGUUGCCCAUUUUUAUUCUUCUCCAAUUGAAGGAGCCUUGGAGAGACAAUGCUGAUGCUUCCUCAUCCACACCACUAGGUUGCCUGGACUGGGGAAUCCUUAAGCUGGGGAUAACAACUUGUCUGUAAUUUUGCUUUACUACUACUUGAUUGAAGAAAUUGGCAUUGUAAUAAAAGUGCAGUCACAAUACUAA
Long non-coding RNA from Pogoniulus pusillus (Red-fronted tinkerbird), 716 nucleotides. RefSeq lists it as uncharacterized. Lineage: Eukaryota; Metazoa; Chordata; Aves; Piciformes; Lybiidae. The transcript is spliced from 2 exons. The record is from RefSeq and is a predicted model, not a curated record.